UACGUAGGGUGCGAGCGUUUGUCCGGAAUUAUUGGGCGUAAAGAGCUCGUAGGCGGUGUGUCACGUCGGCCGUGAAAACCUGCAGCUUAACUGUGGGCGUGCGGUCGAUACGGGCAUCACUGGAGUUCGGCAGGGGAGACUGGAAUUCCUGGUGUAGCGGUGAAAUGCGCAGAUAUCAGGAAGAACACCCGUGGCGAAGGCGGCUCUCUGGGACGGUACUGACGCUGAGACGCGAAAGCGUGGGGAGCGAACAGG
Molecule: ribosomal RNA, 255 nt
Filed under: uncultured bacterium
Lineage: Bacteria
Description: partial 16S ribosomal RNA
Rfam family: Bacterial small subunit ribosomal RNA
Source: RNAcentral